RNAcentral lists this ribosomal RNA (855 nucleotides) under uncultured bacterium. RNAcentral's name for it is "bacterial SSU rRNA". It matches the Rfam family "Bacterial small subunit ribosomal RNA", at positions 31 to 915 of the family's 1533-position model. The record is from RNAcentral.
GAACGCUGGCGGCGUGCCUAACACAUGCAAGUCGAGCGAUUCUCCUCGGAGAAGAGCGGCGGACGGGUGAGUAACGCGUGGGUAACCUGCCCUGUACACACGGAUAACAUACCGAAAGGUAUGCUAAUACGAGAUAAUAUGCUUUUAUCGCAUGGUAGAAGUAUCAAAGCUCCGGCGGUACAGGAUGGACCCGCGUCUGAUUAGCUAGUUGGUAAGGUAACGGCUUACCAAGGCGACGAUCAGUAGCCGACCUGAGAGGGUGAUCGGCCACAUUGGAACUGAGACACGGUCCAAACUCCUACGGGAGGCAGCAGUGGGGAAUAUUGCACAAUGGGCGAAAGCCUGAUGCAGCAACGCCGCGUGAGCGAUGAAGGCCUUCGGGUCGUAAAGCUCUGUCCUUAAGGAAGAUAAUGACGGUACUUGAGGAGGAAGCCCCGGCUAACUACGUGCCAGCAGCCGCGGUAAUACGUAGGGGGCUAGCGUUAUCCGGAAUUACUGGGCGUAAAGGGUGCGUAGGUGGUUUCUUAAGUCAGAGGUGAAAGGCUACGGCUCAACCGUAGUAAGCCUUUGAAACUGGGAAACUUGAGUGCAGGAGAGGAGAGUGGAAUUCCUAGUGUAGCGGUGAAAUGCGUAGAUAUUAGGAGGAACACCAGUUGCGAAGGCGGCUCUCUGGACUGUAACUGACACUGAGGCACGAAAGCGUGGGGAGCAAACAGGAUUAGAUACCCUGGUAGUCCACGCCGUAAACGAUGAGUACUAGCUGUCGGAGGUUACCCCCUUCGGUGGCGCAGCUAACGCAUUAAGUACUCCGCCUGGGAAGUACGCUCGCAAGAGUGAAACUCAAAGGAAUUGACG